AGACAUGACUGAGUGAUGAUAUUAUUUGUUCCAUGCCUUUUUCGUCAUCAGUGUUGGUCAAUGUAAAAACUCUGAGUGUUUAUAUCGUUUCUUGUCUUUUUCAGGACAAGCCUCAGCCGCCACCUGAGGGCCGUCUUCCUGAUGCCACCAAGGGUUCUAACCACCUGAGGCAAGUCUUUGGCAAGCAGAUGGGUUUGAGUGAUCAGGACAUCGUUGCCCUCUCUGGUGGCCACACCUUGGGAAGGUGCCACAAAGAGCGGUCUGGUUUUGAGGGGGCCUGGACUACGAACCCUUUGGUCUUUGACAACUCUUACUUCAAGGAACUUCUGAGUGGUGACAAGGAGGGCCUUCUUCAGCUCCCAAGUGACAAAGCCCUGCUGAGCGACCCUGUCUUCCGCCCUCUUGUGGAGAAAUAUGCUGCAGAUGAGAAGGCAUUCUUUGAUGACUACAAAGAGGCCCACCUCAAGCUCUCCGAACUGGGGUAUGCUGAUGCUUAAAUGGCCCAUAUCCUGGAGCGGGAUACAAACUGCUGCCUGUAUGGACUCGUGCGAUCUUUUGCAUUUGGAUU
This is an RNA transcript of Zea mays, 568 nucleotides long. It is a transcript of the gene named ascorbate peroxidase pseudogene, with no coding region annotated. Lineage: Eukaryota; Viridiplantae; Streptophyta; Magnoliopsida; Poales; Poaceae. The record is from RefSeq and is marked validated.